This 378-nucleotide unclassified non-coding RNA is filed under the name Ascomycota sp. RNAcentral's name for it is "partial contains small subunit ribosomal RNA, internal transcribed spacer 1, and 5.8S ribosomal RNA". The stretch from base 1 to 47 matches the Rfam family "Eukaryotic small subunit ribosomal RNA", at positions 1785 to 1831 of the family's 1831-position model. Lineage: Eukaryota; Fungi; Ascomycota. The record is from RNAcentral.
AAAGUCGUAACAAGGUCUCCGUAGGUGAACCUGCGGAGGGAUCAUUAACACGUUUUAAAACACGUUUUAACCAACCAACCAACCACGUGAACUAUUUAACACUCCUGGAAGAAAAGAAUUCUGUCUCUUCACACUAAUGAUGAGCUCUCGCAAGAGAGCGGUGUGUCUAGACUAGCAUGGCUGUUCUACACAUUAAAACCGUGUCUUGCAUACCUGUACAGACCUUUUCUUUUGGGCUAAAUGCUUCUCUCAUCACUGGAGCGAAAACACCCCUUUCACCACUUCUAUAACUAUUGACUGAUCUUUUUCUUUGCAACAUAAGAAAAAACUAAACUAAAUAUCUAAGCACAACUCUUAGCAACGGAUAUCUUGGUUCUC